GCUUACAGAGGGUAAAAGGGAAACAGGUGCGAGGCCUGUGCGAUCCCGUCACUGUAUGCGGAAUGACAUUGCCACGCGGAAACGCAGUCACUGAGCGAUCGGGAAGGCGGCAAUGCCGGAAGCCGCAAGCCAGGAAACCUGCCGUCUGUAUU
RNAcentral lists this non-coding RNA (152 nucleotides) under bovine gut metagenome. The record is from RNAcentral.